Magnolia sinica is the source of this 1641-nucleotide long non-coding RNA. RefSeq lists it as uncharacterized. The transcript has 2 exons. The record is from RefSeq and is a predicted model, not a curated record. NCBI's taxonomy places the organism in Eukaryota, Viridiplantae, Streptophyta, Magnoliopsida, Magnoliales, Magnoliaceae.
AUUGGGAUUUUCCCCUUCAAUCCAUAUGCAAUGGCUAGCAUUGGAGAGUGACCAUGAACAGAGAGAUUGUGCAGUGAGAAUGGAUUUCCAUUUAAGGAGUACAUGUGCUUCUGAAUACAUGAUGAUAAUGUGUUCAAAUUGGAAGAAACCAAUGUAUCUCACAUUAGUAAGACGUGAGAGUGAUUUCUUUGAGUUCAUGGUUGUGUUGUGAUUUUUUAUGAUCUUUGGUGCUCGUUUAUAUUAGAACAUUUCCAGCUUCUUUCACUGUUGAGGAAUGUAAUUUUGCAGGUGGGUGCCAAUGCAAGCAGCCCAGAUGAAUCAAUGUGGCACAUGUGUGUGAGAUCUAGACUGUUCAUCAGCUGCGUUCCAAGUGAAUAUUCCUUGGCCCAAAGAUCCAGCCGACACAUCUGUCAGGUGGGUUAGAAGUGGAGGGAAAAAAAAGGAUGGCUACAUAGUGAGUAGAAGGAUUAACCAACUGUCUGCAACUAACAUCCCCAUCUCGCCCACUUUGAUGAGUGGCCUUAAUUUCAGAGGGUAGGCUCGAGUGUCCACAAUGCUUGCAUGGAUGCAUGAUCAAAGCUGUUCAUCAAAGUGCAACCACAAUAUGGCUUUCGUUGUGUGGAAUUCAGGUCUGUCCACUCAUCUAAUGGCCACACAUUUACUUUAAAUGCUGACCACACUUGUAUGGAGCCUUACCAAUCACAUGCACCAAAAUAGCAUUAGCGUGUGUGGUAAGAGCUUUUUCAUCAGAUGGACCAGUGUGUACAAAACAAAUGGAUGUCUAGAAGAAAACUAUAUCAGCCAAUCCAUUUCUUUUGUAUAGUCUCCAACCUGAGAAGCAAAACUUCCUGAUUUUUUUGCGCAAGAACAUCUAAUCAAUCUGGUUCAUGUAAUGGAAUUAUGGAAAGCUGGGAUCUCAUAUACAUCUUCCAUAUUUGCAUGUGCAGCUAUAUGUGGAUGUGCACAGCUCCACACACCUGUGGGCUUAGCAAACAACUGUUUCAGAUUUACUUAAUUUGGUAUUGAUUUGGUUGGUCCUUGUAUAUGAUAUUUGCCUAUAUUGCAUGCGUAACUCUUUAACUGCAGUAGUGUAAUUUUUGUUGUCGGCAGGGAACUCAACAAGGAGCAAGUACAUUUGGAUUUGCUUGCAGUCAAUCCAUUCUUUGAAACCCAUGUCAGAUGAGAAUAGUAAUCUCACAUCCCAAGCUUAAAUUCGGAUGGUGUUAGUAAUAUUUCUACAAAUUUACAAGUUCUCUUUUUGUUAUGACCCAACCAAAUCUAAUCGGAAGUUCCUUGCCAUCCAAUUUUUUGCCAUCUCUUUCCUAGAUAAUUGAUAUUUAUAUUCUUUCUCUAUCCGUACUUUGCAGGACAUUGACCAUCAGAUUAGAAGUUUGGUUCUGUAGGGUUUUUGGCACAUCUUCCAUCUAUGGUAGAGCUUAUCAAAUUAAAGUUUGUAUCUCACAAUUGCUGGCCCUACUUGUAAGUUGUAACGUGCAUCACGACACUUCAACGCAAUGCACGAGGAACUUAUGUUUUCUCCAUGAUUAGUUUUAGGGGUCAUUUGGAUGCCUGUAAGUUUUAUUAGUUGUAAAGGGUCUAUAGGUGUUUGGAUAAGAAAUUUCAUUGUCAGUUACAAUAUAA